RNAcentral lists this ribosomal RNA (399 nucleotides) under uncultured bacterium. Its description in RNAcentral is "bacterial SSU rRNA". It matches the Rfam family "Bacterial small subunit ribosomal RNA", at positions 28 to 423 of the family's 1533-position model. The record is from RNAcentral.
GAUUAACGCUAGCGGCAGGCCUAAUACAUGCAAGUUGUACGGGAUUAUUGGUAGCAAUACUGAUAUGAGAGUAGCGCACGGGUGCGUAACACGUAUGCAACCUACCUUUAACUGGGGAAUAGCCUUCCGAAAGGAAGAUUAAUACCGCAUAACAUUGCGAAACGACAUCGUUUUGCAAUUAAACCUACGGGGGUUAGAGAUGGGCAUGCGUCCGAUUAGCUAGUUGGCGGGGUAAUAGCCCACCAAGGCAACGAUCGGUAGGGGGUCUGAGAGGAUGAUCCCCACACUGGUACUGAGACACGGACCAGACUCCUACGGGAGGCAGCAGUAAGGAAUAUUGGACAAUGGGGGCAACCCUGAAUCCAGCCAUGCCGCGUGAAGGAUGAAGGCCCUAUGGGU